RNAcentral lists this ribosomal RNA (504 nucleotides) under uncultured bacterium. RNAcentral's name for it is "partial 16S ribosomal RNA". It matches the Rfam family "Bacterial small subunit ribosomal RNA", at positions 29 to 507 of the family's 1533-position model. The record is from RNAcentral.
ACGAACGCUGGCGGCGUGCCUAAUACAUGCAAGUAGAACGCACAGUUUAUACCGCAGCUUGCUACACCAUAGACUGUGAGUUGCGAACGGGUGAGUAACGCGUAGGUAACCUACCUGGUAGCGGGGGAUAACUAUUGGAAACGAUAGCUAAUACCGCAUAAUAUUAAUUAUUGCAUGAUAAUUAAUUGAAAGGUGCAAUUGCACCACUACCAGAUGGACCUGCGUUGUAUUAGCUAGUAGGUGAGGUAACGGCUCACCUAGGCGACGAUACAUAGCCGACCUGAGAGGGUGAUCGGCCACACUGGGACUGAGACACGGCCCAGACUCCUACGGGAGGCAGCAGUAGGGAAUCUUCGGCAAUGGACGAAAGUCUGACCGAGCAACGCCGCGUGAGUGAAGAAGGUUGUCGGAUCGUAAAGCUCUGUUGUAAGAGAAGAACGGGUGUGAGAGUGGAAAGUUCACACUGUGACGGUAUCUUACCAGAAAGGGACGGCUAACUACGUG